This 585-nucleotide ribosomal RNA is filed under the name Phenoliferia psychrophenolica. RNAcentral's name for it is "eukaryotic LSU rRNA". It matches the Rfam family "Eukaryotic large subunit ribosomal RNA", at positions 51 to 634 of the family's 3401-position model. The record is from RNAcentral. Lineage: Eukaryota; Fungi; Basidiomycota; Microbotryomycetes; Kriegeriales; Kriegeriaceae.
CGGAGGAAAAGAAACUAACAAGGAUUCCCUAGUAACGGCGAGUGAAGCGGGAAGAGCUCAAAUUUGUAAUCUGGCACCUUCGGUGUCCGAGUUGUAAUCUCGAGAAGUGUUUUCCGCGCCGGACCGCAUACAAGUCUGUUGGAAUACAGCGUCAUAGUGGUGAGAACCCCGUAACUGAUGCGGAUGCCCGGUGCUUUGUGAUACACUUUCGAAGAGUCGAGUUGUUUGGGAAUGCAGCUCAAAUUGGGUGGUAAAUUCCAUCUAAAGCUAAAUAUUGGCGAGAGACCGAUAGCGAACAAGUACCGUGAGGGAAAGAUGAAAAGCACUUUGGAAAGAGAGUUAACAGUACGUGAAAUUGUUGGAAGGGAAACGCUUGAAGUCAGACUUGCUAUUUGGAAUUCAGCCGCAAGGUGUACUUUUCAAUUCGCAGGCCAGCAUCAGUUUUCGGGGGUGGAAAAGGGUAGAGAGAAGGUAGCAAUUUCGGUUGUGUUAUAGCUCUUUGCUGGAUUCAUCCUUGGGGACUGAGGAACGCAGCACGCUUUUUGCAAGGCUUUCGAGCUUUUCGUGCUUAGGAUGCUGGUGGAA